RNAcentral lists this ribosomal RNA (914 nucleotides) under uncultured Parcubacteria group bacterium. RNAcentral's name for it is "bacterial SSU rRNA". It matches the Rfam family "Bacterial small subunit ribosomal RNA", at positions 1 to 934 of the family's 1533-position model. The record is from RNAcentral.
UAGAGUUUGAUCCUGGCUCAGGAUGAACGCUGGCGGCGUGUCUAAGGCAUGCAAGUCGAAUGCCGCUGCUCCGCAGCGGCAUGGCAAACGGGAGAGUAACACAUUGGUAACCUGCCCCGAGGACGAGGACAACCCGAAGAAAUUCGGAAUAAUCCUCGAUAAAAGUGAGGGGACUUAAAGUCAUUCCCACUUAAAACUUCGGUGCCUCGGGAGGGGCCUAUGUCCUAUCAGCUUGUUGGUGAGGUAACGGCUCACCAAGGCUACGACGGGUAGCGGGUGUGAGAGCAUGACCCGUCUCACUGGGACUGAGACACUGCCCAGACUCCUACGGGAGGCUGCAGUCAAGAAUCUUCCUCAAUGGCCGAAAGGCUGAAGGAGCGACGCCGCGUGACUGAUGAAGCCCUUCGGGGUGUAAAGGUCUUUUCUCUUUGAAGAAUCAAUGACGGUAAAAGAGGAAUAAGGGGCUGCUAACCUCGUGCCAGCAGCAGCGGUAAUACGAGGGCCCCAAGCGUUAUCCGGAUUUAUUGGGCGUAAAGGGUCCGUAGGCGGCCCGUCGCAUCUCCUGUUAAAUCCUGGAGCUCAACUCCGGGACCGCGGGAGAGAUGGACGAGCUAGAGACCGGGAGAGGCAAGCGGAAUUGCCGGUGUAGGGGUUAAAUCCGUUAAUAUCGGCAGGAACACCAAAUGCGAAGGCAGCUUGCUAGAACGGUUCUGACGCUCAGGGACGAAAGCGUGGGGAGAGAACGGGAUUAGAUACCCCGGUAUUCCACGCCGUAAACGUUGGAUGCUAAGCAUUGGUAGUAUCGACCCUAUCAGUGCUGUCUACCUUAGCUAACGCGUUAAGCAUCCCGCCUGGGGAGUACGAGCGCAAGCUUAAAACUCAAAAGGAAUAGACGGGGACCCGCACAAGCGGUG